This 682-nucleotide ribosomal RNA is filed under the name uncultured bacterium. Its description in RNAcentral is "bacterial SSU rRNA". It matches the Rfam family "Bacterial small subunit ribosomal RNA", at positions 186 to 883 of the family's 1533-position model. The record is from RNAcentral.
CCGCAUGAUACAGUGAUCAAAGGAGCAAUCCGCUGAAAGAUGGGCUCGCGUCCGAUUAGAUAGUUGGUGAGGUAACGGCUCACCAAGUCGACGAUCGGUAGCCGGACUGAGAGGUUGAACGGCCACAUUGGGACUGAGACACGGCCCAGACUCCUACGGGAGGCAGCAGUGGGGAAUAUUGCACAAUGGGCGAAAGCCUGAUGCAGCAACGCCGCGUGAGGGAAGACGGUUUUCGGAUUGUAAACCUCUGUUUUCGGUGACGAAUAAAUGACGGUAACCGAGUAGGAAGCCACGGCUAACUACGUGCCAGCAGCCGCGGUAAUACGUAGGUGGCAAGCGUUAUCCGGAAUUACUGGGUGUAAAGGGAGCGCAGGCGGGAUAGCAAGUCAGCUGUGAAAACUAUGGGCUCAACCCAUAAACUGCAGUUGAAACUGUUAUUCUUGAGUGGAGUAGAGGCAAGCGGAAUUCCGAGUGUAGCGGUGAAAUGCGUAGAUAUUCGGAGGAACACCAGUGGCGAAGGCGGCUUGCUGGGCUCUAACUGACGCUGAGGCUCGAAAGUGUGGGGAGCAAACAGGAUUAGAUACCCUGGUAGUCCACACUGUAAACGAUGAUUGCUAGGUGUGGGGGGUCUGACCCCCUCCGUGCCGGAGUUAACGCAAUAAGCAAUCCACCUGGGGAGUAC